RNAcentral lists this ribosomal RNA (253 nucleotides) under uncultured bacterium. RNAcentral describes it as "partial 16S ribosomal RNA". It matches the Rfam family "Bacterial small subunit ribosomal RNA", at positions 524 to 776 of the family's 1533-position model. The record is from RNAcentral.
AACAUAGGUGACGAACGUUAUCCGGAAUUAUUGGGCGUAAAGGGCUCGUAGGCGGUCCAUCGCGUCGGGAGUGAAAAGCUGGGGCUUAACCCCAGUCCUGCUUCCGAUACGGGUGGACUAGAGGUAGGUAGGGGAGAUCGGAAUUCCUGGUGUAGCGGUGAAAUGCGCAGAUAUCAGGAGGAACACCGGUGGCGAAGGCGGAUCUCUGGGCCGUACCUGACGCUGAUGCGCGAAAGCGUGGGGAGCAAACGGG